Molecule: long non-coding RNA, 801 nt
Organism: Hermetia illucens (black soldier fly)
Lineage: Eukaryota; Metazoa; Arthropoda; Insecta; Diptera; Stratiomyidae
Exons: 2
Source: RefSeq, a predicted model, not a curated record
UCUUUCGAGCUGGAUAUCAGCACCUCUUUUGUUACGUACAUCCAUUUACUACUGAUGGCAAAGUAGUCAAUCUGCUUGUACAGUGUCGGUCAGUCGAAAUCCAACUGAUCUUAUGGAAAGGUCUGUGUUCGAAUGGUAGCGGUAGCGUAAAUAACAAUUCGACACCAGUUCGCGUCUGGUACCACUUGACAUUCCGAAGUAAAAAGCCCAAUACCGUAAGAAGGAAAGAAAUACUCUCCAGAGUCCUACCAUCUUAUUUCACAUUCAUAAUUCCAGAAUAAAAUCCCGUUGUCGAGUAUUCCAGAUACCAACCAUUAGCCGUUUUCGAUAGCCAAACGAUGUAGCAGUAAAGUUUCGAACCUUGCAGAGUAUUCUUGAACCCCAAGUCAUGUGGCAAACUGCAAUGGAUGGAAAUAAAACCCACUCCUACACAUAGCAGCCUCAUACAUAUCCAUCCAACAGCAACGGCAUAAACAGAAUAGCAAUUGCUCACUAUGCACACAAUUGAAUUGUUUUUUGAAUUGGAUUCCAUAUUGAUUGAUAAAAGUCGAGUGUUUCGUUUACCUGAAAGGACAAUGCUAAUAUAUAAGUAGUUGAUUGUAGAGUCAACAAGGCGGGUUUUUAUUUUGGCAUACAUUUAAGUAACAUUUUGUGUUAUAAAUAUUUAAAAUCUCAAUAAAUAAUAUGUUCAAUUGGAAAAUGACAAUUAAUUGGAUAGUUGAUCGUUUCAAGCAAAAAGUGUACAAAAAAGGUAUAAAAAGACAGCAUACAAUUUGAAUAAAUAAUCAUUGAUUUGCCUAA